GAUUAUGGCGGAGGUGUCAUACCCGUUCCCUUCCCGAACACGGAAGUCAAGCCCUCCCGCGCCGAUGAUACUGCCCUCCGGCGGGAAAGUAGGUCAUCGCCAGGC
RNAcentral lists this ribosomal RNA (105 nucleotides) under Treponema sp. Lineage: Bacteria; Pseudomonadati; Spirochaetota; Spirochaetia; Treponematales; Treponemataceae. The record is from RNAcentral.